GCAGGCUUCAUACAUGCAAGUCGAGGGGCAGCAUAAAUUACUUGUAAUUUGAUGGCGACCGGCGAACGGGUGCGUAACGCGUAUGCAACUUACCUUUUACUAGAGAAUAGCCAAGAGAAAUUUUGAUUAAUGCUCUAUGUUCUUAUUUACUCGCAUGAGUAAAUAAGCAAAGCUCCGGCGGUAAAAGAUGGGCAUGCGUCCUAUUAGCUUGUAGGUGAGGUAAUGGCUCACCUAAGCUCCGAUAGGUAGGGGUCCUGAGAGGGAGAUCCCCCACACUGGUACUGAGACACGGACCAGACUUCUACGGAAGGCAGCAGUAAGGAAUAUUGGACAAUGGAGGCAACUCUGAUCCAGCCAUGCCGCGUGAAGGAAGACGGCCUUAUGGGUUGUAAACCUCUUUUAUACAGGAAGAAACCUUUCCACGUGUGGAAAGCUGACGGUACUGUAAGAAUAAGGAUCGGCUAACUCCGUGCCAGCAGCCGCGGUAAUACGGAGGAUC
Molecule: ribosomal RNA, 499 nt
Filed under: uncultured bacterium
Lineage: Bacteria
Description: bacterial SSU rRNA
Rfam family: Bacterial small subunit ribosomal RNA
Source: RNAcentral